Molecule: ribosomal RNA, 665 nt
Filed under: uncultured Pseudomonadota bacterium
Lineage: Bacteria; Pseudomonadati; Pseudomonadota
Description: bacterial SSU rRNA
Rfam family: Bacterial small subunit ribosomal RNA
Source: RNAcentral
GGCUUCGGCCCCGAGUAAAGUGGCGGACGGGUGAGUAACACGUGGGUAAUCUGCCUUUCAGCGGGGGACAACAGUCCGAAAGGAUUGCUAAUACCGCAUACGUCGGCGAGGUCUUAGGACUUUGUCGGGAAAGCCGGCCACUCCAUGGAAGCUGGCGCUGGAAGAGGAGCCCGCGGCCCAUCAGCUAGUUGGUGAGGUAAUGGCUCACCAAGGCUUAGACGGGUAGCUGGUCUGAGAGGAUGAUCAGCCACACUGGGACUGAGACACGGCCCAGACUCCUACGGGAGGCAGCAGUGGGGAAUAUUGGGCAAUGGGCGCAAGCCUGACCCAGCCACGCCGCGUGAGUGAUGAAGGCCUUCGGGUCGUAAAGCUCUGUGGGGAGGGACGAAAACCCCCUGGCUAAUAUCCAGGGGCUUGACGGUACCUCCUUAGCAAGCACCGGCUAACUCCGUGCCAGCAGCCGCGGUAAUACGGAGGGUGCAAACGUUGCUCGGAAUCAUUGGGCGUAAAGCGCACGUAGGCGGUCCGAUAAGUCGGGUGUGAAAGCCCUCGGCUCAACCGAGGAAGUGCAUUCGAAACUGCCGGACUGGAGUACUGGAGAGGAUGGCGGAAUUCCCGGUGUAGAGGUGAAAUUCGUAGAUAUCGGGAGGAACACCAGCGGCGAA